GUGCAGCUGACGAGUCUCAAAUAGGACGAAACGCGCGUCCUGGAU
This 45-nucleotide non-coding RNA is filed under the name Schistosoma curassoni. Lineage: Eukaryota; Metazoa; Platyhelminthes; Trematoda; Strigeidida; Schistosomatidae. The record is from RNAcentral.